This 253-nucleotide ribosomal RNA is filed under the name uncultured bacterium. RNAcentral describes it as "partial 16S ribosomal RNA". It matches the Rfam family "Bacterial small subunit ribosomal RNA", at positions 524 to 776 of the family's 1533-position model. The record is from RNAcentral.
GACGAACCGUACGAACGUUAUUCGGAAUCACUGGGCUUAAAGGGUGCGUAGGCGGCGCGACAAGUUGGGUGUGAAAUCCCUCGGCUCAACCGAGGAACUGCGCCCAAAACUGUCGUGCUCGAGGGAGACAGAGGUGAGCGGAACUUAGGGUGGAGCGGUGAAAUGCGUUGAUAUCAGAAGGAACGCCGGCGGCGAAAGCGGCGCACUGGACCUUUUCUGACGCUGAGGCGCGAAAGCUAGGGGAGCAAACGGG